RNAcentral lists this ribosomal RNA (388 nucleotides) under uncultured bacterium. RNAcentral describes it as "bacterial SSU rRNA". It matches the Rfam family "Bacterial small subunit ribosomal RNA", at positions 28 to 417 of the family's 1533-position model. The record is from RNAcentral.
GACGAACACUGGCGGCGUGCUUAACACAUGCAAGUCGAGCGGUAAGGCCCUUUCGGGGGUACACGAGCGGCGAACGGGUGAGUAACACGUGGGUGACCUGCCCUCAGCUCUGGGAUAAGCCUGGGAAACCGGGUCUAAUACUGGAUAUGACUCCAUGACGCAUGUUGUGGGGUGGAAAGCCUUGUGCGGCUGAGGAUGGGCCCGCGGCCUAUCAGCUUGUUGGUGGGGUGANGGCCUACCAAGGCGACGACGGGUAGCCGGCCUGAGAGGGCGACCGGCCACACUGGGACUGAGACACGGCCCAGACUCCUACGGGAGGCAGCAGUGGGGAAUCUUGCGCAAUGGGCGAAAGCCUGACGCAGCGACGCCGCGUGAGGGAUGACGGCCU